GCCAUUAUAGCUCAGUUGGUUAGAGCGUCGCACUUGUAAUGCGAAGGUCGUGAGUUCAACUCUCAUUGAUGGCU
RNAcentral lists this transfer RNA (74 nucleotides) under Acidimicrobiaceae bacterium. RNAcentral's name for it is "tRNA-Thr". It matches the Rfam family "tRNA". Rfam says of the family: Transfer RNA (tRNA) molecules are approximately 80 nucleotides in length. Their secondary structure includes four short double-helical elements and three loops (D, anti-codon, and T loops). Lineage: Bacteria; Bacillati; Actinomycetota; Acidimicrobiia; Acidimicrobiales; Acidimicrobiaceae. The record is from RNAcentral.